UGUAUCUGAAAGGGCCAUUUCAGUGAAGACGAGUAGGGCGGGGCACGUGAAACCCUGUCUGAACAUGGGGGGACCAUCCUCCAAGGCUAAAUACUACUGACCGACCGAUAGUGAACCAGUACCGUGAGGGAAAGGCGAAAAGAACCCCGGAGAGGGGAGUGAAAUAGAACCUGAAACCGUGUGCGUACAAGCAGUAGGAGCUCCGCAAGGAGUGACUGCGUACCUUUUGUAUAAUGGGUCAGCGACUUACUGUUCGUGGCAAGCUUAACCGUAUAGGGGAGGCGAAGGGAAACCGAGUCUGAUAAGGGCGCAUAGUCGCGGGCAGUAGACCCGAAACCGGGUGAUCUAGUCAUGCCCAGGGUGAAGGUGCGGUAACACGCACUGGAGGCCCGAACCCACUCCCGUUGCAAAGGUAGGGGAUGAGGUGUGAUUAGGAGUGAAAAGCUAAUCGAACCCGGAGAUAGCUGGUUCUCCUCGAAAGCUAUUUAGGUAGCGCCUCAUAUGUAUCCUCUCGGGGGUAGAGCACUGUUAUGGCUAGGGGGUCAUCGCGACUUACCAAACCAUUGCAAACUCCGAAUACCGAGACGGACUGUAUGGGAGACACACGGCGGGUGCUAACGUCCGUCGUGAAAAGGGAAACAACCCAGACCCACAGCUAAGGUCCCAAAUUCACUGCUAAGUGGAAAACCAUGUGGAAAGGCACAGACAGCCAGGAGGUUGGCUUAGAAGCAGCCACCCUUUAAAGAAAGCGUAAUAGCUCACUGGUCGAGUCGGUCUGCGGGGAAGAUUUAACGGGGCUAAGCAGUGAACCGAAGCUUGGGGUGCAUAACUUUGUUAUGCGCGGUAGAGGAGCGUUCCGUAAGCCGUUGAAGGUGGAUUGAGAAGUCUGCUGGAGGUAUCGGAAGUGCGAAUGCUGACAUGAGUAACGAUAAUGCGGGUGAAAAACCCGCACGCCGAAAGCCCAAGGUUUCCUUGCGCAACGUUAAUCGGCGCAGGGUGAGUCGGCCCCUAAGGCGAGGACGAAAGUCGUAGUCGAUGGGAAGCAGGUUAAUAUUCCUGCACCUCGCGUAAGUGCGAUGGAGGGACGGAGAAGGUUAGGUGUACCAGGCGUUGGUUGUCCUGGGGAAAGGCGGUAGGUUUGGAUCUUUGGCAAAUCCGGGAUCCUUCAAGACCGAGCACCGAGACGAGCCUUUAUGGCAAAGUCACUGAUACCACGCUUCCAGGAAAAGCUCCUAAGCUUCAGCUUACGCAGACCGUACCGUAAACCGACACAGGUGGGUAGGAUGAGAAUUCUCAGGCGCUUGAGAGAACUCGGGUGAAGGAACUAGGCAACAUGGCACCGUAACUUCGGGAGAAG
RNAcentral lists this ribosomal RNA (1357 nucleotides) under Stenotrophomonas maltophilia. RNAcentral's name for it is "partial 23S ribosomal RNA". It matches the Rfam family "Bacterial large subunit ribosomal RNA", at positions 380 to 1745 of the family's 2925-position model. The record is from RNAcentral. Lineage: Bacteria; Pseudomonadati; Pseudomonadota; Gammaproteobacteria; Lysobacterales; Lysobacteraceae.